RNAcentral lists this ribosomal RNA (253 nucleotides) under uncultured bacterium. Its description in RNAcentral is "partial 16S ribosomal RNA". It matches the Rfam family "Bacterial small subunit ribosomal RNA", at positions 524 to 776 of the family's 1533-position model. The record is from RNAcentral.
UACGUAGGGUGCGAGCGUUAAUCGGAAUUACUGGGCGUAAAGCGUGCGCAGGCGGCUUUGCAAGACAGAUGUGAAAUCCCCGGGCUCAACCUGGGAACUGCAUUUGUGACUGCAAGGCUAGAGUACGGCAGAGGGGGAUGGAAUUCCGCGUGUAGCAGUGAAAUGCGUAGAUAUGCGGAGGAACACCAAUGGCGAAGGCAAUCCCCUGGGCCUGUACUGACGCUCAUGCACGAAAGCGUGGGGAGCAAAGGGG